CAUGCAGGCGGUCGUACGCGUUUUGUGUGACAGCGGGUGGCUUAACUACCCGAGUAUGCGAAAGACGGUAUGACUUGAGGGCUCGAGAGGGACACGGAAUUCCGGGUGGAGUGGUGAAAUGCGUAGAGAUCCGGAGGAACACCGAAGGCGAAGGCAGUGUCCUGGCGAGUGACUGACGCUGAGGUGCGAAAGCUAGGGGAGCGAACGGGAUUAGAUACCCCGGUAGUCCUAGCCGUAAACGAUGACCACCAGGUGUGGGAGGUAUCGACCCCUUCCGUGCCGGAGUUAACACACUAAGUGGUCCGCCUGGGGAGUACGGUCGCAAGAUUAAA
This 332-nucleotide ribosomal RNA is filed under the name uncultured bacterium. RNAcentral describes it as "bacterial SSU rRNA". It matches the Rfam family "Bacterial small subunit ribosomal RNA", at positions 568 to 898 of the family's 1533-position model. The record is from RNAcentral.